GGUUGCGUGGUCUAGUUGGUUAUGGCAUCUCGUUAACACCGAGAAGGUCCCCGGUUCAAUCCCGGGCGGAAUCA
This 74-nucleotide transfer RNA is filed under the name Fusarium lateritium. RNAcentral describes it as "tRNA-Val". The record is from RNAcentral. Lineage: Eukaryota; Fungi; Ascomycota; Sordariomycetes; Hypocreales; Nectriaceae. RNAcentral also lists the same sequence under 1 other name.